CCUGCUACCAUUUCUCCAGUUGGUAAAUUGCCAUUUAUUCCUCAAGACUUGGUUCAAAUGCCAUGGAAUCUGUCAAACCUUCCCUAAGCCACACAUACCUGUGAAGUGUUUUCUGACUCCCCCACCAAUGCCUGGACAGUGUCAAUAUCUUGCUCCUCUGAGUUCACACAGAAAUAUAUAUCAUCAGAUCUAGUCAAAAACUUUUCAUUGCAUAUUGUAAUUGCAUGUGCAUGUGCCUGUGUUUGCCUCCCUUCCUGCAUUUUAAAUACCUAAAGAGCAGGCUUUGCUUUAGACAUUUCUUUUUUUUUUUUUUUUUAAUUCCAGUGUCUGUGUUAAUGUCUAUUGGUAGAUGGUCCACAGAUAUCCACUACUUGCAUGAGUGAUAAUUUUAUCUUUCCAUUUCUGGGCAAUAAUGAGGCUACUUGCAUAUUCAUUUGUCAGUGAAGGAAGGAAGACAUUAAACAAUUUGCCCAAGUGUACACUUUUACAAGUGACAGAAGUAACAAACCAAAACUGCAAAUUCCAUUAUCUUUCUCUUAUUUUCCCAGAUGUAGUGACUUCAUGCAGUGAUACAGCGAGCCGGUCUAGAUGGAGGACCCAAUAUGCUCACUAUGAAUCUGUCUCAUAAACAGAAAAAGGCACCAGCAUAGACAACAAUAAUUUCUGUCAGUGUCCCGGGACCAUAGGUGGGCUUCAAAGUCAUGUCCAGAAGGAGAUGAUUCCAGACACAGGAGUUUUCCAUCAUGCACAAAGUUUAGCAAAUUAGAUAAGAUGCAAAUCUCCUCAGUGGGGGUCUGCUAGUUUGUUAGAGCUACUGCAGCAAAGGACCACAAGUGAGUGGCUGAAGAAGAGAAGUACAAUUCUGGAGGCUAGAGGUCAAUGUGUUGCUAUGGUUAGUUCCCUCUGAGGAAUAUUAGGAAGACUCACUUACAUGCCUCUUUUGGUGAUUUACUGGAAUCUAUGGUGUUCCUUGGCUUGUGGUAGCGAAACUCCUGUCUUCACAUGGUGUUCUUCUGUCUCUAUCAGUGGCCAGUUUCUUUUUUGUAAGUUCACUGGUCACAUGGGAUUAGGAGCUCACCGUAACCCAACACAACUUUAUCCUAAGUUCACUAGUUAUACCUACAACAACCAUCUUUCCAGAUAAGAUGGUAUUCUGAGGUACCAGGAGUUAGGACUUCAUAUACGAAUUUCGGGAGGACACAAUUCAACCCAUGACACAGGCCAGGGCUCUUCAAAGAAAGACAUAACAUUUCUACAGGAACAGUGUUGCAAAGAAUCAGAAGAAUAUGGUUGGUGUGGAUAGGAGGCAAUGCCUGAGGGGAUGUGUACCUGUCUUUGCUAUGAAGGUAACCUGACUUGUGAAAAUACUGGACUUGAGGGAGUACCGGGAGAACCUCAACUCAGAUAUGUAACUGCCUUGAGUGUCUAUGGAAGCACUUGAGAUAAUCAGCAGAUUUGCAAAAACUACAUUCAUAAUAAUAAAUGAUUAAAAUGCUUAUAAUGUGCUAAGCUCUGUUCUAAACAUGCUACUUAUUUCAAUGUUUAUAAUCUUUAAUACAACAUUAAUGAAAUAGGUAUCAUAUUAAUCCAUAUUUCAGACAAAUAACUGAAUGACCAGCAGGUUAAGUAAUUUGCUUUGCAUCAUAAUUUGUGAAUUCAGAUCAUGACUUGAAUCCAGACAGUGAGGAUUCAGUCUUGAGCCACAUCCCUUGAUACAUAAACAUUUAGUCCUUUACUUCUUCUCUUCCCCUCCCUCUCUUCCUUAUUUUUGACUUUCUUUUUCUUUCCUUUCCCAUGACUUAAUUUCCAUUCAUUUCGUUCCUUGCUUGCUUCCUUUUUUCCUCCUUUCUUUCUUUUCUUCCUUCCUAUAAUUUUUAAGGAAUAAAACUAAAAAAUAAAGACUUCAUUUUUAUAUGCACUUUCCCCACUAAAGAAUUUAAUUCUUGCUAGUAAAUCCACAUUAAAUAUUCAAGAAAAAUAAAGUCAGUUUUUAUUGCUAUAUUCUCCAGAGAUGGAGGUUGGGGAUACUCCAAGUGAAUAAAUUGUCUUGAUUUUGUAUCUAGGCCCAUUUUUACUCAACCAAGUGCCUUGACCAGUCAGCCUUUACUCUUAACCCCUAGGGGUAAGUAGGAAAAUAAAUUUAUAUUUUCUCCUUCAAUAUCCAGAUCCAGGGUCCUUCCUGCCACAUGAUCUUCAGAGAAAAAGCAUCAGGAAAUUCUUAAUCUAUUUUGUCUCCACAGCUUAUAAGCAGCUGUCGUUAUAAAUAAAGGCUAAUGUCACUCUCAUCGAACUUGAAAUUUAACACGUGUUUUUGCCACUCAAUGAGGGAUUUCCUCUAACACACUUAUAUGUAAAUCUUCUGAUCUCCAGUGGUUUUAUUUCAGUAUUACACGACUAUAAAAGCCCUUUUGGUGACAAAGACUUAACAAUAUAAAAGAGUCAAAAUGAACCUUGGAAAUAAGGCUGAAAAUUCCAAAACACGGGAUUGUUUUUCAUAAAAUUUGCCAUUCUCAUCUCCCAAGCUGGAAUUAUUACUCAGAAAUAAUACGACUAGAUCAUGUUGAAAUUUGGAAUGGGAAAAUCACAUAAAGUUGGAAGUUUCAGUCCUAGGGUUUAUUUCAAGUUCUAGGUUGAGCAAGGGGAAGUUUUCCUAAAGAUGUGGAACAAUAAGUAAAAAUAAUAAAGUGUAAUAGCUUUAUUUUCAGAUUUUCCAACUAGUGUGCUGUUAAAAAAAUGUGUAAUUAUAAUUCAAUAACGGGAAGUUUCUCAUGUCUGAUAUGUAUAAAAAAAGACUAAGAAAUAGUUAUUAAUCUUUAUUUUAUGGAUUGAAGUCUUCAAAUAAGAAUGCUAAAAACAUUUAACGUCUAUUCACCCUUGAAUUUUACCUUAUUUAACCAAUUUUAACUGUGAAUUCAAAUUACUCUGUGUAUACAAAUUGUAUGUCCUGAGUCGGAGAUAAAGAAGGAAAUGUUUUAUAAAUGUGAGCAUUACGCCUAGUUCCAAGAGAUUGUUUUAAUAGUUUAUCCAGCCUACCCUCAUGUCUUGAAUUAAGAAUUAAUUUCAUACCUGAAGAAAUUAAUUUAUUAUAUUAGAAUCUUAAAUCACAGGUGCAAAAAUCAAGCUAGUGUCUUUAUGAUCCAUGAAAUAUUCAAGGCUGCAGAGGAGCAUGGAUCAGUCACAUUCUUGAUUGUAAGUCACACGGGUGAGUAUUGAUUUUCUCAGACAACUAAGGAAUUUAUUGGAAAAAUAUGAGGGAUUUACUGAAUUGAUGGGAUGCUGGAUGGAUAAACUUGGUGAAAUGACAAAAGCCAAGAUUUUGCACUAGAAUUUAAGGAGCAAGAACAACAGCCAAGUUCUCAUGUUUUAGAAAAUCCUGGUCUUUCUUUUGCUUGUUUGGGAUUCAGUGCCCUUGGGGUGAACCCAUGAUUAACUAAACACAAGUAGGAACAGAAUGCAUUGACCUACAGCGCUUUCGCAGUCAGAUAAAGGCACUAUCCCAUCAACAACACUUAAAAUAAGGAAUUAUUCCUCAAGGAAAACAAAACGAAAUAAGAAAGUUGAGAUAGGGAUUGACUGAGAAGAAAGACCAUCCCAAAGUAUCUAACAUCUGACGAUGUGGGGAUUGGGUAUGUGCGUGCAUGUGCGUGCAUGUGAUGGCUUUCUGUGUUAGUAGGAGGAAUGUCUGAAUGCUUGUGUAAAAUAAAAUCUCCAUGUAAACGUAUCAAUAUCCAAUUCGUAGAGACUCAAAGGCAUCAAAAUGCCAGGCAAAUUGUGUUUAGAGGCAGAAGACUGCCAUUGAAAUCCUGACUAUGUUAUUAUCCACCUAUGAUAUGGAACAUUUGAUUUGGCUUGUUGAUCUCUUAAGUACUUCAGGUGAAAAAUGAGAUUUAUAUAAAGAUAACAUAGAAUGUUGUGAGAUGGGAGUAUUCUAUGUAAAAGCCAUUUGUAAAAUAUAGAACACAACACAGAAACCUUUUUUCAUUUGUCACUUUUCAUUAUUCAGCUUCCUUGGGUCUAAUGAGGAAGACUGAUUCUUCUUUUUUUUUUUUUUUUUUUUUUUUUUCUUUUUCCUUUUAAACAUGGAUCAUCUGUGCUUGCUCGUUUCACACCAGAAGGACUCCUGAACAGGCCUCUGAAGACUACGAAACAUUUUCCUUUGGCUACAAAAGACGUAUCAGUAGAACUGAAGAAGUUGACAUAAAAUCACUUUUUUAAUGGAAACAAUUAUUUGUACUAGUGAAGAAAGUUGGGUUCAUAAUUUUAUCUCUAAGCAAAGGUGUGGCUUAGUCAUUUUUAUUUAUGUCUCUAAAAGGCCUGCUUGUUUUGUCCUUUCUGUGACUUUUCCCAAUUAGGUUGGAUAUAUUUUAAACCUCCCUGUGAGGAAUUUUAUAAAUUGUUUAUUAUUUUUCUUUUCCAAAAAAGAGUUUAUAAGUCCCAGAUUUCCACCCCCCCUUCCAUGUGGCCCUUAUUAAUCUUCCCUGGGGGCUUUUUUACCCCCUGCCCUCCAACUUAAAGCUUAGCUGGGAUGGUUCAUACAGUCAUAAUUGAAAAUUAAUGAUGAGAAGCAGCCCCAAACCACACCAUUCCCUUUCCCCCUGUUCAGUCCAAGAAGUGUACAAUGCAGAUUUUAUUUCAGGGACUGGAGAGGUGAUUAAUAGUCAUAAGGCCCUGACACUGGCUUCAGAUAAGUGGCGUAGUCUGGCAGGAACACAAAUAUGUGGACACCAUUCCCAUUAAUCUCUGAACGCCACAUGGAAAGGAAAAAGUCUUUGCAAGGCCUCUAUAAAGGGAGUUAUUAUUAUGAGGCCAAUUUUUCUAUAAGGAAAGGAUAAUUUGUAGCCUCUGUGAACCUACCCAGGACCAAAGGAGUUACUACACUCUACUUAUAAAAGACUUUUCUCCAAAUGAGAAGAUGUAAAUGAGGUGUGAGGGCGAAUAAUAAGAAAACAAAAGUAUAAGGAAACUGACAAUAAAAUCUAUGGAAUCAUUCCUACUGGUCCAUGAGCACCGGAAGGCUGGCCAGGGGGCCAAGCUUCUGUCACUGCUCCAGCCAAAGUAGCACAUGAUGUUCCUCAAUGUAUGUUGAGUGAAUGGAUGCAUGGAAAGCUUGCAUUUUUCAGGCUGCAACAUUCAUAAUUGAGGAUUGAUAACUGAAAAAGAAGAGAAAAAUGAUACUGCGUUUCUGCAAUCUUUGAUAUUUUGAUUUUCAUACUAUUACUAAACACCAUGGUCAUUAUUGCUACUUUUUAUACAAUGAUUUAUAUAUUCUUAAACAAUGCCACAUUUUCCCACCUGGCAAACUCCAAAUGCAUCAUCCUUCUAGGCUGGCUCAUCAUUUCCUUUUUGAAUAAAGUCUACUCCAUCUUAUCACUAGUUUUCCUGCAUAAAGUACAUACUUCAUUUUCUGUAUUCAAAGAUAUUGCAAUUAUAUGUUUAGACACUUUCUCUUUGAUUAGCCUGUGAACUCACUGAGGCAUAGCUCAUAGCAUACUAUUCCUGCUUUCCAUAGCAUUGCAACUAACAGGUCCUCAGAAUAUUUUUCUAAAAUUAAAAGCAAUGUUUAUAGAAAUAAAUUACCUCGAACCCAGUUUUGCUUCUUACCCUGACUUACCCAUCUAUAAAAGAGAAGUUACUCUUCAAUACUUAAAAAUAUAACUAUUGGUUAGUCGGUGCAAACUGUUACAUUUAGAAUGGAUAAGCAAUGAGGUCCAACUGUACAGCAACAAAGUAUUAUAUUGAAUCUCUUGGGAUGGACUAUGAGAGAAGAUAUAUAAGAAAGGGAAUGUAUAUACAUGUAUGACUGGCUCUGUUUGCUUUACAGCAGAAAUUGGCCCAAACUUUUAAAUAAACUAUACUCUAAUAAUUUAAAAAUAAGUUUAAAAAAGGGUUGGCAGUUUCAAGCAAAGCAAAAGGACCAAAUUCUUAUUCUUCUUUAGAGAGAUCUAAGAGUUUUUGUGAGUAUGAGAUUUUUUGACACCCUUAGACUUACAUAAAUUAUAUUCUACUGUGGUGUCUGUGAGAGCACAGUUUACUAGAAGACACUAGAAGCUCUUGUUUCACUCUGGUGUCUAAUAAUUGUUACUAAUCAUAAUUCAACUAUGGAAAUGUUUGAAAGAAAAAAAAUAGCUAUUGGAUAGAAUGGUCUUGUUCACGAUGGACUUCUUUAUUCUCUUGAUGGGAGGUGGAUAUUUGUCUUGGGGGGGGCUGUGUAAAUGUUGAUCUCCCCUUUCAUCAUUGUCUAGCCUGAUACAUUUCUCCCCAAUAGAAAUAUAGGGGCUUCGCUCAGUUGGAGACAGCACAACAUUAUUCCUAUUUAAUGCUGAUAGUUCAAAAAGAAUAACUAGCCACAAAGUUCUAUAUUUCCAGAAGUAGAUGAUGUUUAUUCUGUUAUACAAAAUAUCUUUUUUUUCAUUUCUAAAUACUAUUUAUAUUUAUUUACACUCUGAGAAGAGGGCCAAUUUAUUAUUUCAUUCAGUCAG
Molecule: long non-coding RNA, 6479 nt
Filed under: Sus scrofa (pig)
Lineage: Eukaryota; Metazoa; Chordata; Mammalia; Artiodactyla; Suidae
Description: lncRNA (ENSSSCG00055025123.1)
Source: RNAcentral